UACGGAGGGGGCUAGCGUUAUUCGGAAUUACUGGGCGUAAAGCGUACGUAGGCGGCUUUUUAAGUCGGAUGUGAAAUCCCUGAGCUUAACUUAGGAAUUGCAUUCGAUACUGGUCAGCUAGAGUAUGGGAGAGGAUGGUAGAAUUCCAGGUGUAGCGGUGAAAUGCGUAGAGAUCUGGAGGAAUACCGAUGGCGAAGGCAGCCAUCUGGCCUAAUACUGACGCUGAGGUACGAAAGCAUGGGGAGCAAACAGG
RNAcentral lists this ribosomal RNA (253 nucleotides) under uncultured Acinetobacter sp. Its description in RNAcentral is "partial 16S ribosomal RNA". It matches the Rfam family "Bacterial small subunit ribosomal RNA", at positions 524 to 776 of the family's 1533-position model. The record is from RNAcentral. Lineage: Bacteria; Pseudomonadati; Pseudomonadota; Gammaproteobacteria; Moraxellales; Moraxellaceae.